AACCAAGAAAUUUAGUCAUUCUUUUUUGGUAAAAAGACAGUUAGGUAGUAUUAGUAGAAUUAUAGGACCUUUAGUGCAGGAGUAAAAUCUAAAUAUUAAAAGUUAUUUCAGGUAUAAUUUAUUUGAGUUGCUGAAUCUGUGAUAGCUUUAAGGGAAACUGGGAUUGGAUACCCCAUUAUUUUUAGUUGUAAAUAUAGUUUAAACUUACCAGAGUACUACGAAUAAAAAGUUUAAAACUCAAAGGGCUUGGCGGUGUUUUAGACCCUUCAGGGGAACCUGUCUCGUAAUCGACAAUCCACGUUAAACCUAAUCUCUUGUAGCAAUACAGCUUGUAUACCGUCGUCGUCAGGUAACUUCUUAAAAUAUAGUAGUUAGCUUGAUAAUCAGAUUAGUUAAAACGUCAGAUCAAGGUGCAGCUAAUAAAGAGGUGAGGAUGGGUUACAAUUAUAUAUUUGUAAAUACGGUAGAUACUUGAAAUAAGGUAUUUUAAAGGAGGACUUGAAAGUAAUUUUAGUUAUAUAAAUAAGAUGAAUAAGGCUCUGAAACGUGC
RNAcentral lists this ribosomal RNA (550 nucleotides) under Conus furvus. RNAcentral's name for it is "partial 12S ribosomal RNA". The record is from RNAcentral. Lineage: Eukaryota; Metazoa; Mollusca; Gastropoda; Neogastropoda; Conidae.